CCUACGGGAGGCUGCAGUGAGGAAUAUUGGUCAAUGGACGAGAGUCUGAACCAGCCAAGUAGCGUGAAGGAUGACUGCCCUAUGGGUUGUAAACUUCUUUUAUAUGGGAAUAAAAUGUUCCACGUGUGGGAUUUUGUAUGUACCAUAUGAAUAAGGCUCGGCUAACUCCGUGCCAGCAGCCGCGGUAAUACGGAGGAUCCGAGCGUUAUCCGGAUUUAUUGGGUGUAAAGGGAGCGUAGGUGGAUUGUUAAGUCAGUUGUGAAAGUUUGCGGCUCAACCGUAAAAUUGCAGUUGAAACUGGAAGUCUUGAGUACAGUAGAGGUGGGCGGAAUUCGUGGUGUAGCGGUGAAAUGCUUAGAUAUCACGAAGAACUCCGAUUGCGAAGGCAGCUCACUGGACUGCAACUGACACUGAGGCUCGAAAGUGUGGGUAUCAAACAGGAUUAGAUACCCGGGUAGUC
RNAcentral lists this ribosomal RNA (460 nucleotides) under uncultured bacterium. RNAcentral's name for it is "partial 16S ribosomal RNA". It matches the Rfam family "Bacterial small subunit ribosomal RNA", at positions 338 to 795 of the family's 1533-position model. The record is from RNAcentral.